RNAcentral lists this ribosomal RNA (254 nucleotides) under uncultured bacterium. RNAcentral describes it as "partial 16S ribosomal RNA". It matches the Rfam family "Bacterial small subunit ribosomal RNA", at positions 524 to 776 of the family's 1533-position model. The record is from RNAcentral.
UACGGGGGGAGCAAGCGUUGUUCGGAUUUACUGGGCGUAAAGGGCGCGUAGGCGGCCAGCACAAGUCAGUUGUGAAAUCUCCGAGCUUAACUCGGAAAGGUCAACUGAUACUGUGCGGCUAGAGUGCAGAAGGGGCAACUGGAAUUCUUGGUGUAGCGGUGAAAUGCGUAGAUAUCAAGAGGAACACCUGCGGCGAAGGCGGGUUGCUGGGCUGACACUGACGCUGAGGAGCGAAAGCCAGGGGAGCAAACGGG